UGGCGUAGUGGUCACUGCGCUCGCCUUGCACGCGGGAGACCCGGGUUCGAUUCUCGG
RNAcentral lists this transfer RNA (57 nucleotides) under Diaphorina citri (Asian citrus psyllid). The record is from Rfam by way of RNAcentral. Lineage: Eukaryota; Metazoa; Arthropoda; Insecta; Hemiptera; Psyllidae.